Long non-coding RNA from Microtus oregoni (creeping vole), 447 nucleotides. RefSeq lists it as uncharacterized. The record is from RefSeq and is a predicted model, not a curated record. The transcript is spliced from 3 exons. NCBI's taxonomy places the organism in Eukaryota, Metazoa, Chordata, Mammalia, Rodentia, Cricetidae.
GCAGAGUUGCCAGCCAGACACAGAGGGAGUCGGAGGUAAAAAUAAAGGAAAGCUCAGCCUCAGGAGAGCAGUUCCGACAUCUGACCAGGUAAUCUGAACCUUUCCACGUGGGAGGAAGACUAUUUGUUCAGGGCACAGACGGACAUCUUCCUGUUUCCAAGGUCCAGCUGCUUCUGUUAAUGCUGUUGGAUUGUGGGUAAUCCAUCUACAUCAAAUGGCUUUACCUGUCCUAACCAGUCACUGGGAUGGAGGAAGGAGUCCUCUGAGAGACCCAUACUCUAUGGUGAGGCAGCAAUCAUGGCAGCCUGGCUUCAAUCCACAGCUACAGCCAUCAUGAAUGUGUUCUGCACAAACGGCCCAUCUGGGGUUGGAGAGGUGGCUCAGAGGUUAAGAGCACUGGUUGCCCUUCCAGAGGUCCUGAGUUCAAUUUCCAGCAACCACAUGGUG